GGACACCCAGCCCCACACACUGAUGGAAGGAUGGGUGGAUGGACACCCAGCCCCACACACACAGGUGGACACUCGGUGGCUCAGCAUCGCUGCAUCUGGACGACUCCAUGGCCACGUGCACCUGGCUGCUCCCACUCACAGCAUCCCACGUGCCCCACACCCACACACUCCUCUGCACCCACGGGCACCUGAGUGCAGCCCUAGCCCCCAGCCAGCUCCCCACACACACCUGAUGUAGGGGAACCAGGUGAUUCCCCUGCCAUGGGGCUGUCCAGGAGAGGGCCCAGGGGAGCCUGAGGCAGAUGGGUGUCAUGACACAAAACAUGAAACCUGAGGCCAUCCCUCAGCUCAGCUGCACAGAUGGCACAGAGCUGGGGAGCAUUAACCACCACAGGGUCUCACCCCAACACCAGGUCUGGGGACACCAACCACAGCAGGGACAGCCAGUUCACCACACCCAAACAAGUGCUCCAGCACCUGCUGUGCCACCACAGCACCUGCAUCCCUUUGGGAAGAUGAGAGGUUCCCCAGGAAUGGGAAAUCAGCAGGUUCUGUCACAAUGGAGCUCCAUACCUUCAUCUUUUGUAGUCCUCUCACUCCAACAUAGCACCCCCACAUGCCCACAGAUAGGCUGUUCUCCCCCUUACCUCUGCCCACCAAAAACUUCAGCUAAUUCCCAGCCCAAAGAGCUCCUGAUCUUCCUGCAGGAGAAGGCCAGGCAGGCAAGGAGAGCCCAUCACCACCCACUGCCCCGAGCUGCCGAUUUCGGGCCAACCAGACUCCUGGUGAAACACCGAGCGCUGGCAACCACGCUGCAAACAUCUGCUCUUCCAACAGCAUCGUGAUUCACAGGCUAUUAAUUGGGGCAUGGCAGCUCUGGGAACUGUUUGCAUCCCCUGGCUUUGCUCAGAGCCACAACUCGCUGCUGACAAGGUCUAGAGGCCGGAGACAGAGCCAAACCUGGCCGCAGUGGAGCCGCACUGGGACCGGCCGCGGGGCACAGUGCCCAGCUCCCACACCAGCUGCACGGACACCCGGGAGCUGUGCAGAAUGAGCCCCAGGAAAGCAGCAGCAGUGGUGCCCAGUGCUUGGCAGGAGCAGCCAGAGCCACAGUGCCCAGCAGAGCCAGCUGGCAGCGGGCAGGCUGCCGCUCUGACAGGGUGGAUUGGCGGGUGCUGGGGGUGCUCUUCAAGUUACUGUCACCAAACAUCAGCGUGUUUCCAUAGUGUCUCCCAGCCGCUGAGCCACUCACUCCCAGGGGUACUCACUUCAAGGGGAGCCACGGAGCAGACCCUGCUCGGGCAGCACCAAACAAAGGCUGUGGGGAGCCUCCAACAGCAGCCAAGAGGAAUCUGAAUUCAGAGGCUGAUUAGAAACCAUGUCAUGACUUCUUCCUGCUCCAGCAUUUUGGGGAGGAGUGAGCUGGGGGGCGACGUGGAAAACCUAAUUAAGAUUGAGGGCAGGUUGCAGAGGCACUGACACAGGCACUGCAGGAGCACAGCUGCUUGUGGGAGGGGGACACCAGGUGCUGCAGCACCCCUGGCCCCGCAGAAAUGGGGAAGGUACAAAUCAAUUCUCCUUAAUCCGAUGGGCACUUGCUCUGCUGCCAUGUGCUGCGGUGGCUGACAGAGAGCAGCCCGGCCUCCUCCCAGCUCAGCUUUUGGACCCGUGGUGGCCCAACCCUCUCUGUCCCCCUGCCAGUGACACUGUACAGCCAUGGGAAUGAGCCGCUAAGCAGGACAAGGGCGAGCAGAAGGAGCUCAAUCCUGCCUGGUUUGGAGGAGGUGAGUGCUGAGCUAUCUGCCCUGUCCAUGGCUCUCCAUGUGCCCCCCCCGUGCUGCUGCUCGUAGAGGGACCAGGCAUCACAGGGCCGUUGAGAUGGCCACGAUCUGAGGCCACUUUGUCAGAGCAGGCUUUACACCUGGUUCUUGGGGAUGGCACAGAGGCCAGGCUGAGGGGGCACUACACAGGGUCUGCAGCACCAGGCACCGCUCUGCACGUCCCUCUCCUGUUGCCCUCCGCAGCACCUGUCAUGCCCUGUUGGCUCAGGGCUGUCCUCCCUGCUGCGAGGAGCUGUCACCCCACGGCAGGGGGUGUCCCCCAGGACACGUCCAGCCGCAG
Long non-coding RNA from Catharus ustulatus (Swainson's thrush), 2121 nucleotides. The record is from Ensembl. Lineage: Eukaryota; Metazoa; Chordata; Aves; Passeriformes; Turdidae.